Stomoxys calcitrans (stable fly) is the source of this 510-nucleotide long non-coding RNA. RefSeq lists it as uncharacterized. NCBI's taxonomy places the organism in Eukaryota, Metazoa, Arthropoda, Insecta, Diptera, Muscidae. The transcript has 2 exons. The record is from RefSeq and is a predicted model, not a curated record.
ACUCAAAAAUGAAUAAACUUCUUUCUUCUUGCUCUGAUUGGUCGAAGUUAAUUUGCCGAAAAUUUUAAAUGUCAGGGCGAAUCAAAUUUUCUUCACCCUGUUUACAAAUGUUGACGUAUCAAGUUCCCAAAACAGAUGCUUUGUUGUAGCAAUUCGCCGAUGCGGCCACCUUAUAAAUACGCCUUGCGUAAAAUCAUAUCCCAAUUACGUAACCGUCAGUUUAAGGGUUAGGAAAAAGCUUCCAUAUACGUUUAUGAAUCGCAAGGAUUUGCUCGAUACAUUGCAAUAGAAUAAUGCAAUUUUUUAAUUUGAAUUGCUACUAGCUCAGACACAACAACAAGGCCUAAAUGUCUGCGAAAGUUUUUUGUUUUAGGCAAUUUGGAGAUGAUUUCAAUUGAUUUGUAAGUUUUUACUUACAUCAAGUAUUCUUUACAAUAACCCAAUCUAUUUAUUGUACAAAAUGCGAAAAUUAAGAUUUUGAUUCAUAUAUGUUAUUAGAAUCUUUAGAAA